GAGUACAUAGUUCAAUAGAGAAGAACGUGGUCAUUACACGGCCGAGGUUGCAGGUUCGAGUCCUGCUGUACUCCCA
Molecule: transfer RNA, 76 nt
Filed under: Chryseobacterium sp. ERMR1:04
Lineage: Bacteria; Pseudomonadati; Bacteroidota; Flavobacteriia; Flavobacteriales; Weeksellaceae
Description: tRNA-Val
Rfam family: tRNA
About the family: Transfer RNA (tRNA) molecules are approximately 80 nucleotides in length. Their secondary structure includes four short double-helical elements and three loops (D, anti-codon, and T loops).
Source: RNAcentral